AAUUUGGGAACGAGAUGCCCGGGGAUGCAACCAGCCCCGCGCUCGGAGGCGGCGGUCGGAGUUCCGUGCGCAGAGGGCACACAAAAGCCUCGAGGAUCAUUGCCUCGACCCCAUCCCCCACCGCGCGGCGACGCCCCCUACGGGCUGGGACACCUCCACUCUCGGACUGCUGCCGGGUUUCCCUCCGGCUGCGACCCUGGAGAGUUUGCCAUCUCCGUACCACCACCACCACCACACACAGCACCCUCAAGACUCCCUGUGAUCCUGGGAUGCACUCAACGAAGAGUGUGUGGCCCAGGAUUUGAUGGAAAUGCUACAAGAGAAGCAGGCUCUCCCCUUCUGAAAUGAUGAGUGAUAAUGACCAUACAGGUCAACUUUUCCACCACUUGGAGGGAGCCUGUCAAAGAACAAAGGCAACAGAGAAGAGAGCAGAGCUGAGGUUGGGUGAGAGGGAGAAAUUCCUGAGUGCUUGAAUCCCACAUGCCGGAAGCCGCACCACACUUGGACUUCUCAAUACAGGAGCCACUGAGAAACCAAGUCAUGCUGAAGACCUGGAAAUCCCAGCAGGCUGCAAACCAGCUGCAACUACAAUGGGUCAGCCCUUUUGAGAUGCUGCUGACUACCCACUUAUCUGCCAAGUUAGCCAGUGUUAAGCCAUGGAUUCACCACGCUCAGAUAAAACCUGCCCCUCUGGGAUCCCUCCAGAAAAAAACAGGCAUGCUGUUGUGAACCCUAAGAUGGCCUUAAGUUAAUAUUCAAUGCCCAGCCAAAGACCCUAAAUAAGAAGUCAUAAAGGAAACAUGUGCUUUUCAGGUUGGUAUUAUUCUCCCCAAAACCCUUCUUGCAUGCAGGAUGUAAUGAAUCAGAAAUAGUUGUUAGUAAUUUUUUUUUUUUUGAGACAGAGUCUCACUCUGUCACUCAGGCUGGAGUGCAGUGGUAUAAUCUCAGCUCACUGCAACCUCCACCUCUCAGGUUCAAGCAAUUCUCAUGCUUCAGCCUCCCAAGUAGCUAGGACUACAGGUGUGCACCACCAUGCCCAGGUAAUUUUUGUAUUUUUAAUAGAUACAGGGUUUCACCACGUUGCUCAGGCUGGUCUUGAACUCCUGACCUCAAGUGAGCCACAUCUGCCUCAGCCUCCCGGAGUGCUAGGAUUGCAGGUGUGAGCCACCACACCCAGCCAUGAAUCAGAAAUACUUUUUAAUAGGCUUAGGAUUGUUCUCUUGGAUUCCUUAAGGGAUCCACUUUAAUUCUUGGGUGUUUUUUUUUUUUUUAAUCAUGGUGCUCCAACAAGCGGGAUGCCAGUCAGGUAAUCCUGAGCACUUCAGAUUCAGGGGUGAUGUUUGCAUUUCCCAUCAUUAUCCCACAAUGCACCCCUUAGCAUUAAGUAGCCAAAAAGGCAGACAACCAUAUUCCCCAUGAUCGAAAAAUUGAUGAAUAGAAAAAAGGGGAUUAAAACCAGCCCAAUUGUCCCAUAGAAAUGAUAUUACGGUUUUUAAAAGAAACAUAAAAAUUAACCUUCCUGUUUUUAAAAUUUAAAACUUACAUUUAUCUCAUCUGAAUUCCUUCCUCAAAAAACAGACACUCAGGCAAAAACAAAAACCUAAAACUCAUCAGAUCACUGUAUCCAGACAGAGACGCCAGACCCCUCAUCCAUCAUGAUUGCUUCUAUACUCCUCCUUAAUUCCUAUUUUCCCACCUUUCCUGCUAUACAAAACCCCCAAUUUUAGUCGGUCAGACAAACACAUUUGAGACUUUAUCUCCUGUUCUCCUUGGCUGCAACACCCCGUUAAAGUUUUCUUCCCUGGCAAUAGUUACUGUCUCAGUGAUUGGCAUUCUGUGUAACAAGCAGCAGAACCUAGACUGGAACCCUGGUGUUUCAGUAACAUUACCUUGUAGUAAAUGCUGUUGUGUCAUGCCCAGAUUCACUUUACCAAGCCCAGAUCCCACAGAUUAAAGGGCUCAGCUCCACAAGACUUCAGACACCAGCCACAAAUGGGGUCCCCAGGUGACCCACACUUCUGCCCAGUGGACUAUAAAUUCAAGGGUUCUGUGACUUUCCCUACCCAGCUUUGAUAAUUCACUAGAAUCCUCACAGAACUCAGGAAAAUGCCAUACCUACUAUUACACUUUAUUAUGAUGGACACACACGAGCAGCCAGAUGGAGGGGUACUGAGGAAGCAUCUGAAUGCAGGAGGCUCUGUCCCUGGAGAGUUGGGAUGAGCCACUCUCCUGGAUGUGUUCACCAACUCAGAAGCUCUCCAAGCCCCAUUGUGUAGGGAUUUUUUAUGGCAGUUUCAGUAAGUACACAUGAUUGAUUAAAUCAUUGGCCAUUGGUGAUUGAACUCAAUCUCUAGCCCCUCUCCUGCUCUCAGAGGUGGAAGAGCAAGGCUGGAAGUUCUAACCUUCUCAGUACAUGGUUGGUUUUUCCUGUGUCCAGGUCCCAUCCUAAAGCUACCUAGGCCCCCUCUGCCCAACAAGAGUCUUCUCAUUAGCAAAAGAGUAAUUUCCAAGGGUGUUAGGAGCUCUAUGCUGGGAACCAGGGACCAAGAGUAAAUAUAUAUUUUGUAUUUUACCACAGGUACCAAUCACCCUCCAGAUCUAAGAAUGGCUUCAGGCUGGGGCUGCAGUCACCUCUUUGCCCAGCUUCUCCCCUGCCCUAUUCUGCUUCACUUGCAUCCUUAAAGGUUCCACCCAAGAGCUCUUCUACAAGAAAGCACCUAUAAAGCCAGACACAUUGGCUUAUGCCUAUAAUCCUAGCACUUUGGGAGGCCAAGGUAGGAGGAUGGCUUGAGGCCAGGAGUUCAAGACCAGCCUGGGCAACUUAGUGAGGCCCCGUCUCUAUAAAAAAUAAAAAAAUUAACCAGGUGUGGUGGUGCACGUCUCUAGUCUCAGCUACUCAGGAGGCUGUGGCAGGAAGAUGGCUUGAGCCCAGGAGGUUGAGGCUGCAGUGAACUAAGAUCAUGCCACUGCACCCAUCUUGGGCAACAGAAUGAGAUCCUGUCUCUAAAAAAAUAAAAACAAUUUACAACAGUAAGCACCUGUACACAAGCCCCAUCUCCAGUCCUGUUUCUAGGGCUUCCAAUUUAACACACCUAGAGGCUGGGCAUAGUAGCUCAUGCCUGUAAUCCCAAUACUUUGGGAGGCUGAGGCAAGUGAAGCACUUGAGGUCAGGAGUUCGAGACCAGCCUGGCCAACAUGGCAAAACCCCAUCUCUACUAAAAAUGCAAACAUUAGCUGGGCAUGGUGGCACAUGCCUGUAAUCCCAGCUACUCGGGAGGCUGAGACAGGAGAAUCACUUGAACCCAGGAGGUGGAGGUUACAGUGAGCCAAGAUCACACCACUGUACCACAGCCUGAGCAACGAAAGAAGACUCUGUCUAAAAAAAGUAAAAAAUAAAAUAAAACACACCUGGAGCUUUCUA
RNAcentral lists this long non-coding RNA (3421 nucleotides) under Homo sapiens (human). RNAcentral describes it as "PREDICTED lncRNA (TCONS_00064610)". Lineage: Eukaryota; Metazoa; Chordata; Mammalia; Primates; Hominidae. The record is from RNAcentral.